RNAcentral lists this ribosomal RNA (460 nucleotides) under uncultured bacterium. RNAcentral's name for it is "bacterial SSU rRNA". It matches the Rfam family "Bacterial small subunit ribosomal RNA", at positions 29 to 506 of the family's 1533-position model. The record is from RNAcentral.
ACGAACACUGGCAACGUGCUUAACACAUGCAAGUCGAACGAUAAGGCCUUUCGGGGUACACGAGCGGCGAACGGGUGAAUAACACGUGGGUGAUCUACCCUGCACUCUAAAAUAAACCUGGGAAACUGGGUCUAAUACUGGAUAUGACCUACUCUCGCAUAAAAAUGGGUGGAAAGAUUUAUCGAUGCAGGAUGGGCCCACGGCCUAUCAACUUGUUGGUAGGAUAAUGGCCUACCAAGGCGACGACGGGUAGCCAACCUGAGAGGGUGACCGGCCACACUGGGACUGAGACACGGCCCAGACUCCUACGGGAGGCAGCAGUGGGGAAUAUUGCACAAUGGGCGGAAGCCUGAUGCAGCGACGCCGCGUGAGGGAUGAAGGCCUUCGGGUUGUAAACCUCUUUCAGCAGGGACGAAGCGUGAGUGACGGUACCUGCAGAAGAAGCACCGGCUAACUACGU